UGGGGAAUUUUGGACAAUGGGCGAAAGCCUGAUCCAGCAAUGCCGUGUGUGUGAAGAAGGCCUUCGGGUUGUAAAGCACUUUUGUCCGGAAAGAAAUCCUUGGCUCUAAUACAGUCGGGGGAUGACGGUACCGGAAGAAUAAGCACCGGCUAACUACGUGCCAGCAGCCGCGGUAAUACGUAGGGUGCAAGCGUUAAUCGGAAUUACUGGGCGUAAAGCGUGCGCAGGCGGUUUGCUAAGACCGAUGUGAAAUCCCCGGGCUCAACCUGGGAACUGCAUUGGUGACUGGCAGGCUAGAGUAUGGCAGAGGGGGGUAGAAUUCCACGUGUAGCAGUGAAAUGCGUAGAGAUGUGGAGGAAUACCGAUGGCGAAGGCAGCCCCCUGGGCCAAUACUGACGCUCAUGCACGAAAGCGUGGGGAGCAAACAGGAUUAGAUACCCUGGUAGUCCACGCCCUAAACGAUGUCAACUAGUUGUUGGGGAUUCAUUUCCUUAGUAACGUAGCUAACGCGUGAAGUUGACCGCCUGGGGAGUACGGUCGCAAGAUUAAAACUCAAAUGAAUUGACGGGGUCAUAGCUGUUUCCU
This 585-nucleotide ribosomal RNA is filed under the name uncultured bacterium. RNAcentral describes it as "partial 16S ribosomal RNA". It matches the Rfam family "Bacterial small subunit ribosomal RNA", at positions 355 to 1375 of the family's 1533-position model. The record is from RNAcentral.